CAUGAUAGAAUUUUUUGUAAUCCAUGAUCGAAUUUUUUGUAAUCCAUGAUCGAAAUGUUUGUUUUUUUUUCUUGUAAUCCAUGAUCAAAUUUUUUGUUUUUUUUGUUUUUUUUAACCCAUGAUAGAAUUUUUGGUAAUCCAUGAUCGAAUUGUUUUUUUCUUUUUUUGUAAUCCACGAUGGAAUUUUUUGUUUUUUUAUGUUUUUUUUUUUU
This 212-nucleotide long non-coding RNA is filed under the name Amborella trichopoda. RNAcentral describes it as "long non-coding RNA (ATRI_LNC001949)". Lineage: Eukaryota; Viridiplantae; Streptophyta; Magnoliopsida; Amborellales; Amborellaceae. The record is from RNAcentral.